GCUCCGGUGGCGGAAUUGGUAGACGCGCAAGUUUCAGGUACUUGUGAGAAAUUUCUCGUGAAGGUUCAAGUCCUUUCCGGAGCACCA
RNAcentral lists this transfer RNA (87 nucleotides) under Alphaproteobacteria bacterium. RNAcentral's name for it is "tRNA-Leu". It matches the Rfam family "tRNA". Rfam says of the family: Transfer RNA (tRNA) molecules are approximately 80 nucleotides in length. Lineage: Bacteria; Pseudomonadati; Pseudomonadota; Alphaproteobacteria. The record is from RNAcentral.